Molecule: unclassified non-coding RNA, 384 nt
Filed under: soil metagenome
Description: partial contains 5.8S ribosomal RNA, internal transcribed spacer 2, and large subunit ribosomal RNA
Rfam family: 5.8S ribosomal RNA (bases 1-120)
Source: RNAcentral
GAUGAAGAACGCAGCGAAAUGCGAUACGUAAUGUGAAUUGCAGAAUUCAGUGAAUCAUCGAGUCUUUGAACGCACAUUGCGCCCCCUGGUAUUCCGGGGGGCAUGCCUGUCCGAGCGUCACUACACACCUUAUCACAAUAUUUGUGGUCUUGGCAGGAGUGAAUUGCUGGUCUAUGGAAGUAUUCCAGCAGUACACAAUGCUAAAAAAUAUGGGAAGGUUACCAGAUAUGAACAACAGACUUUGUAAAUGGUUGUAGGACCUAGAUCAGUCACAAGUCAUGUCUGGUCCCUUACCUUAAGGACCCCCAUCCUAGAUGAACUAUGGGUUGACCUCGGAUCAGGUAGGAAUACCCGCUGAACUUAAGCAUAUCAAUAAGCGGAGGA